GUGGAGAGGAAGGAAGUGUGUGGGGGUUGGGGGGGAAGGGGGUGCUGACAUGGUAGAAUCCAUAGUGAGUCUUUCCGCAGCGAACCGGACACCCACGCCGUGUGUUAUCUGAGGGUGAAGCAUGGGAGCCAAAAGAGUUACACUACAGUGCUCCCAGGAUUCUUGAACGGACUCUAUUGCCCAGGGGCUUAGGGGAUCUUUUUGUUGAGUGGUAAGAGGGAGAGCAAAACAGUAGCUCUUGUAGCUGUUGGGGCUGGGCUGAUUGCAAGAGCCAGAGAGUGUAGUCCUGCUGCCUCCCGGGAUUCUAAAAAGGAACCACUGGCAGACUUGCCAACUCUUCGAGAAGGAGGUGUGGCAGAGGGAUCUGCUCUCUGAGAUGACAGCCAAGGACUCCAGGUGGCCAACACAUUAAAAAUCAAAGCCCAGAUGCAGUAAAUCCAUGAUUCUUAUGUAGAGAGCUUUGAGGCUCAGCACGAAAGACAUUGCCACUUAAGAACAUUAAUAAGAGAUCCGAGAUAGUGAGAAUUAGCCCAUUUAGGAAACAUUUGGGGAACGGUUGUCACUGUGCCUUGAAAGUAGACUGCAUGAAAGGGAUUUUUGAGGGGAGAGGGAAGAAAGCGAUUUGCCAAAUAGGAACAGAUCCACCAAAGUUAGGGUUCAGGACCACGGACAGCGACCUACCUUCUGUUCUUGGGUAUUGGGAUUUACUGUCAGCAGGAGGGUUCUCUCCACAGCAAGUCCAAGCAGGGUGUCUGAGUUUUUAUACCAGGACCCCAUUCAUUUAUUAAGGAGCUCAGCAAAUAUAAAUAACUGCGUUUCUGAAACCAGCCAUCAUCAUUCAUGUGUCCAGAAAAGAAUAUUUAGAGCCUUCUUUAUGAACUCAACCACUCUUUACAGGUCAGAAGAAAAGAGAAUUGAGUGAUUAAGUUCUACUAACUUCUAUCAAAAAGUUGUCAAUUACUCAAAAGGAAAGACAUGCUAUGUUCAUGAGUGAGAAAGCUCACAUCAGCUCACCCAAACUGAUUUAUAGAGUCAGCAUAAUACCAAUCAAAGUCUCAGCACUUUUCUUGUGAAAAUUAACAAGGUGAUCCUAAAAUCCAUGUGAAAAUACAAAGGAUCUGAAAUAGCCCAUGCACUUUUGAAAAAGAAAAACAAAAUUGGAAGAUUGAAACCAACUGAUUUCAGGAAUUAAAAAGCUAUAGUAACAUAGAUAACAGAGUACUAGCCUCAAAUUAUAGAAAUAAAUUAAUGGAACAUAAUGAAGGAUUUAGAAAUAGAAUAACACAUAUUAUUUCAGUUGAUUUUUUAUAAAAAUGCAAACUCCCUCAUCAUUAUACAAAAUACAUGUAUGAAUAUGUGAAUUUGGUGUCAACAUACCUUAUAUAU
Molecule: non-coding RNA, 1386 nt
Organism: Ictidomys tridecemlineatus (thirteen-lined ground squirrel)
Lineage: Eukaryota; Metazoa; Chordata; Mammalia; Rodentia; Sciuridae
Source: RefSeq, a predicted model, not a curated record